Molecule: transfer RNA, 72 nt
Filed under: Ovis aries (sheep)
Lineage: Eukaryota; Metazoa; Chordata; Mammalia; Artiodactyla; Bovidae
Rfam family: tRNA
About the family: Transfer RNA (tRNA) molecules are approximately 80 nucleotides in length. Their secondary structure includes four short double-helical elements and three loops (D, anti-codon, and T loops). Further hydrogen bonds mediate the characteristic L-shaped molecular structure. tRNAs have two regions of fundamental functional importance: the anti-codon, which is responsible for specific mRNA codon recognition, and the 3' end, to which the tRNAs corresponding amino acid is attached (by aminoacyl-tRNA synthetases). tRNAs cope with the degeneracy of the genetic code in two manners: having more than one tRNA (with a specific anti-codon) for a particular amino acid; and 'wobble' base-pairing, i.e. permitting non-standard base-pairing at the 3rd anti-codon position.
Source: Rfam by way of RNAcentral
UCCCUCAUAGCUCAGUCGGUAAAGAAUCUGCCUGCAAUGCUGGAGACCCAGGUUCGAUUCCUGGGUCGGGAA